GCGGAGGAAAAGAAACCAACAGGGAUUGCCCUAGUAACGGCGAGUGAAGCGGCAACAGCUCAAAUUUGAAAUCUGGCUCUUUCAGAGUCCGAGUUGUAAUUUGCAGAGGGCGCUUUGGCUUUGGCAGCGGUCCAAGUUCCUUGGAACAGGACGUCACAGAGGGUGAGAAUCCCGUACGUGGUCGCUAGCUAUUGCCGUGUAAAGCCCCUUCGACGAGUCGAGUUGUUUGGGAAUGCAGCUCUAAAUGGGAGGUAAAUUUCUUCUAAAGCUAAAUAUUGGCCAGAGACCGAUAGCGCACAAGUAGAGUGAUCGAAAGAUGAAAAGCACUUUGGAAAGAGAGUCAAACAGCACGUGAAAUUGUUGAAAGGGAAGCGCUUGCAGCCAGACUUGCUUGCAGUUGCUCAUCCGGGCUUUUGCCCGGUGCACUCUUCUGCAGGCAGGCCAGCAUCAGUUUGGGCGGUGGGAUAAAGGUCUCUGACACGUUCCUUCCUUCGGGUUGGCCAUAUAGGGGAGACGUCAUACCACCAGCCUGGACUGAGGUCCGCGCAUCUGCUAGGAUGCUGGCGUAAUGGCUGUAAGCGGCCCGUCUUGAAACACGGACCAAGGAGUCUAACAUCUA
RNAcentral lists this ribosomal RNA (619 nucleotides) under Curvularia papendorfii. RNAcentral describes it as "LSU rRNA". It matches the Rfam family "Eukaryotic large subunit ribosomal RNA", at positions 50 to 684 of the family's 3401-position model. The record is from RNAcentral. Lineage: Eukaryota; Fungi; Ascomycota; Dothideomycetes; Pleosporales; Pleosporaceae.